RNAcentral lists this ribosomal RNA (347 nucleotides) under uncultured bacterium. Its description in RNAcentral is "bacterial SSU rRNA". It matches the Rfam family "Bacterial small subunit ribosomal RNA", at positions 329 to 693 of the family's 1533-position model. The record is from RNAcentral.
GUCCAGACUCCUACGGGAGGCAGCAGUGGGGAAUAUUGCACAAUGGGGGAAACCCUGAUGCAGCAACGCCGCGUGAGUGAAGAAGUCAUUCGUGAUGUAAAGCUCUAUCAGCAGGGAAGAAAAUGACGGUACCUGAGUAAGAAGCCCCGGCUAACUACGUGCCAGCAGCCGCGGUAAUACGUAGGGGGCAAGCGUUAUCCGGAUUUACUGGGUGUAAAGGGAGCGUAGACGGCAGCGCAAGUCUGGAGUGGAAUGCCGGGGGCCAACCCCGGGACUGCUCUUGGAACUGCGUGGCUGGAGUGCAGGAGGGGCGGGCGGAAUUCCUGGUGUAGCGGUGAAAUGCGUAG